ACAUCCAGCGAACUUGGCAGAGAUGCCUUGGUGCCUUCGGGGAACGCUGAGACAGGUGCUGCAUGGCUGUCGUCAGCUCGUGUUGUGAAAUGUUGGGUUAAGUCCCGNAACGAGCGCAACCCUUAUCCUUUGUUGCCAGCGAUUCGGUCGGGAACUCAAAGGAGACUGCCGGUGAUAAACCGGAGGAAGGUGGGGAUGACGUCAAGUCAUCAUGGCCCUUACGAGUAGGGCUACACACGUGCUACAAUGGCGCAUACAAAGAGAAGCGACCUCGCGAGAGCAAGCGGACCUCAUAAAGUGCGUCGUAGUCCGGAUCGGAGUCUGCAACUCGACUCCGUGAAGUCGGAAUCGCUAGUAAUCGUGGAUCAGAAUGCCACGGUGAAUACGUUCCCGGGCCUUGUACACACCGCCCGUCACACCAUGGGAGUGGGUUGCAAAAGAAGUAGGUAGCUUAACCUUCGGGAGGGCGCUUACCACUUUGUGAUUCAUGACUGGGGUGAAGUCGUAACAAGGUAAGCGUAGCGAG
Molecule: ribosomal RNA, 526 nt
Filed under: uncultured bacterium
Lineage: Bacteria
Description: bacterial SSU rRNA
Rfam family: Bacterial small subunit ribosomal RNA
Source: RNAcentral